RNAcentral lists this ribosomal RNA (815 nucleotides) under uncultured bacterium. RNAcentral's name for it is "bacterial SSU rRNA". It matches the Rfam family "Bacterial small subunit ribosomal RNA", at positions 8 to 796 of the family's 1533-position model. The record is from RNAcentral.
AGAGUUUGAUCAUGGCUCAGAACGAACGCUGGCGGCGUGGAUAAGACAUGCAAGUUGAACGCUUAUUCCGGUGUAGCAAUAUAUCGGAGUGGGAGUAGCGCAAGGGUGCGUAACACGUGGGUAAUUUGCCAUGAAGUUGGGGAUAACUCGCUGAAAGGCGAGCUAAUACCGGAUGUGAAGUUUGGGUGGCAUCACCUGACCUCUAAAGCUGGGGAUCGCAAGACCUGGCGCUUCAUGAUAAGCCCGCGGCCUAUCAGCUAGUUGGUGAGGUAACGGCUCACCAAGGCUAAGACGGGUAGCUGGUCUGAGAGGACGACCAGCCACACUGGAACUGAGACACGGUCCAGACACCUACGGGUGGCAGCAGUCGAGAAUUUUUCUCAAUGGGCGCAAGCCUGAAGGAGCGACGCCGCGUGGGGGAUGAAGGGUUUCGAUCCGUAAACCCCCGUCAUUUGUGAACAAUGGUUAUUAUUUAAAAGAUGAUAACUUGAUAGUAAUGAAAGAGGAAGGGACGGCUAACUCUGUGCCAGCAGCCGCGGUAAUACAGAGGUCCCGAGCGUUGUUCGGAUUCACUGGGCGUAAAGGGUGCGUAGGUGGCAAGGUAAGUUUGAUGUGAAAGCUCAGGGCUUAACCCUGAAAUGGCAUUGAAUACUACUGUGCUGGAGGUUUGGAGGGGGGACUGGAAUUCUUGGUGUAGCAGUGAAAUGCGUAGAUAUCAAGAGGAACACCAGUGGCGAAGGCGAGUCCCUGGACAACACCUGACACUGAGGCACGAAAGCUAGGGGAGCAAACAGGAUUAGAUACCCUAGUAGUCC